GAGAUUCUCCACUGUGUUCUGACCACGGUGGAGGUGCUGAGCCGCUGGUAACGUUCCAGGAGGAAUCAGGCACCAAGGAGAAGGCGAUCAGCUUUGUGGCGAGAGCUGGGCGUUCACUGCCUGCCGGCUGCCAGAGGCCAUCAGGGCAGAAGUUUCAGUUCAUGAGAUUUCCUGCAGCAGAGAGUACUUUAAAAGAGGAAGAGUUCCCUGUGACUUGGGCCUGCCGUGUGUACAGCACUUGUUCCUCUCUCAAGUAAGUGGGUUUGGAUUGCUUUGCGUUGAUCCGUUCUGAGCAGAAGGUAUCGAUUCUCUCUGAAAACCUGUGUCAUUAUGACACCAAGACAAGGAGGCUGAGGUUUCAGAUAUUUUGCUAUCUGGCAAAUAAAUAAAUAAAUAAAAUCCCACUCUUCAGGUUCUGUAGGACCAAAAUAAUAGUACCAAUGACUUACUCCCCCAAAGCUUUCCUUGAUGUGUUCUCUAUGUCUCUCCUAGGAGUUGCCGUUUUUUGGGGUUUUGGGGUUUUUUUUUUUUUUUUGUCUUUUUAGGGCCGCACCCAAAGCAUAUGAGGUUCCCAGGCUAGGGUUCAAAUCAGAGCUCUACUCGCUGGCCUACGCCGCAGCCGCAGCCACAGCCACACCAGAUCCAAGCCGAGUCUGCGACCUACACCACAACUCACAGCAACGCCGGAUCCUUAAGCCACUGAGCAAGGCCAGGGAUCGAACCUGCAUCCUCAAGGAUGCUAGUCAGAUUCAUUUCCACUGAGCCACGACGGGAACUCUGAUUUGUUGUUUUUUUACGGGCUGUGUAGUAUUCACUAGUAAUCCCCCUGUGUAGUAUUUAGAAAUGCAUAGACUUGAAGACAUUGUAAGAAAAUGAACGUUUGUACGUUCCAGCUGGAAGCGCCCUGUCGAUGCCUGGGGCAUGAGCUGGUGUUUCCUGGGAGGCCUGCUGGGGGGAGCGGUGGCCAGCAGCUAGUGCCCGAGGAGUUUUGGACACAGAGAUCUUUGCAGGAUGGCCUCCCAGGAGAGGUCAUGUUGAGAGGGCAGGACUUAAAUGCCAGCCAAGGGGCAGACUGAGAGGGUGGGGCAGGUGUUGGAGGACAGCCAGGGGACACGGGAAGGAGUGUGUCCCUCAAGGGCAUUGCUGGGUGCUCUGUCCCUCCUCCAUGCCUCUCCCAGAUUCCUUCUUGAUGGUGAGCCCGGAAACAUCCCAUAGCGGGACCCAUCUUCGCACGAAGAAGCUGAGGAAGUGGAUGGAUGGAUGGUGGUCAAGGUCCAGAUGGCCCCUCCUCUCUGACAGGGUGCUGAGAGCUCCGUGUCGCUGAGGGAGGAGGUUGGGAAUGUUCAGGAAAUUGAAUUAACUCAUGCCUGCAGGGACCUGGUGAGUGGUCACAACAGCCUUUGGGAGGUCACCAAGUCCUAGCCUUGGUGCCCCCUCCACGUGCUGUGACCACACGCUGCAACUUGAUUGUGUCUUCCUCCGGCCUCUUUUCUCACAUCGCUGUGUAACGGCCCAGCCCUGGAUGGCAUGCUGGGCAUGUUAUGUUGGCCUGUUAUUGCAUCAGGCAAGACUGUGCUGGGGGGGUGGUAUUUCUCCAGGAGCUUUAGCAUCCACCUUAGGCUGACAAGGAAGACUCGGCCUGUGCCUGGUGGAAUUCUGCAAAGAGAGAGAUUAAAGAAAAAGCCAGCCGCACGUGUCAGUGAUGCACCCUGCAGUCCAUCAGGCUUAUCACUGUGUUACCUUACCACAUGGGAGAAGCUCUGAGAUGAAAGCCUUGGGUUCCUGUUGGCCGGGGGAACUCAGAUCUCCCACCCCUGGUCCCCAGGUGGUGGAACUGCACCUGCGCCCAGGUGGAUUGAAUGCGCCUUGUUUCCCAUGGGGCCUCUCUUUCCUGCUCUGCUCCUUCUAGGAGCCUACCCAUCCGGGUUCGCCCACAAGUGAGGGCUUUUCUGGAACAUGGGACUUUGAAGUACUUAAAAAGGCCCUAGAAAUCGGGGGCCUCUUGGUUCUUGUCAUGAGUCCCGGGACCCCUCCCUGCCCCUCCCUCCCUUCCCCAGCUGUGGGACGGCUGUGCCCACCCAGCUGGCUCCUGACAGCAGGGGAAUUGGCGGUGCUGGUGGCUGGGAAAGAACUGGGGGGGUUGAGUAGACACAGUGCAACUUCAGGUCCGCUGCUUGCUAACCUGCCAAUGGCCCUGACCUCUCUGAGCCUCAGUCUUCCAUAUGCAAAUAAGAAUACAAACACGCCACCACGGAAUUGGGCAAGGUCCCAUGACACAGCCGCAGGAAGUGUCUGGGACAGCGUUGACAUGGAGAAGUGGAGGACCCCCGGACCAGGCCCUCCCCCCCCCCGCCCCCGCUCCACUGCCCUGGAAGAACCACCUGAGAAGAUGGUGAGUUACCUUCACAGGCAUCAUCUCGAGCUUUGUCAGUACUAUUAUGUAGCCAGGUCCUGCUCCGGGAAGAUUAGAAAGAAUUCGGGCAUGUCACUCAUUAACACAAUGUCCCCUGGGUUGUAGCUCGAAAUCUGGGCCCCCAGAUCUAAUUCUUAAAUACUGCCAGGUUGUUGUGGGCAAGGUACUUUAAAUUGUUUUCCUAUCAGUUUUCCAUAAAUAGGACAGAAACCAAAAAAAAAAAAAAGUGCUCUGAGGAUUGUUGUGAAUAGCACGGUUUUGUCUUAUGAUCCAGAUGUUUUCAGUUGUUUAAGGCUAUUUUCACAUUUAAAGUUCCUUCACACCUUGUUCUUUUCUGAGUUUAUAAAUGAUAGAUGUCGCCUUAUGAAGAAUACGUAUUAUUAUUAUUGCCAUUAACAUUUUUCACAGCUCCUCAGUAUGUGCAUUUGAGUAUUAUGUUUUUAGGGUGCAAGAUGGGUCCCUCUUUUUUUUUUAAAGCGCUCCCUUCUUUAAGGAAACUCAAAAAGAAAAUGAAGGCAUAAAAUGACCACACAAUGUUCUUCUGGUCAACCCUUUGAGUUUUUGUGGCCUCGAACCUGAACCCUCCUGUGUAAUGUAUAUAUAAGUCACCUUUUGAAGAACAGAGCCACCCGUCUCUCUGCUUUAUUCGUGUGAUCGAAAUUUCAGGAAGUAAGAUAUAAUGUCCCCCUUGUUUUUAGUUGUUUGUUAUCUUAAUCAAACUUAAGUCAUUGAUAAAGUCAGUUUCUCCUGGAAAGUUGCCUUUCUCAAAAGCUCUCUGGGAUGGAGGUUUGUUCCUUUACUGUGACUGCUGAGGGCUUGAAAUUACUGGGAGCAAAAGCUCCUCUGCUCAUUUGCGUGUGUGUUGAACGGUCCUGACCCCAUGUCCCUGCCAGUGCUCCCCAGCGCCUUUUCUCCCAUCUCAUGUCUUCUCUUUGCUAAAGCUGGUCCCUCAUAGCGAGUGAUCUGUUCCUCGCCCAUGACCCAUCUGCCGUUCACGCCAGCCUCUCUGACUUCUGCCUUUUCCCACAUCAGCUCUUUGCCAAGUGAGUGACUCAGAGCUCGGGUUGCUCCAGGUCCGUCAGGGGUGGCUCCUUGGAGCCGGCUUGGCUGACCUUGAGCAGGUCUCCCGGGACUGGGGAGAGCCAGCCACCAAGGAGACCCGCCGCUCAGUGUGACAGAGCCAGGCCCCUGAGCUUGCUCGCUGCCUUUUAAAAAAAGCUGUGGAGGGCGGAGUGGGGGGACAACUGAGAUGUCAGUCGCUUUAGCCUCCUUGUUCACAAAAGUCGAAUAGGCUUCUAGAAGAAUAGACGAAGGGAUAGUCCCCUCUCUAAAGUAAAUACCCCGAUACACAGAUUCAGUCUGUGAGCAUUUAACACACAUGUAUUAUGAAGAGAAUCUCUAUGUGAGAGAGGCCACCACUGAUUAUAAUUUAAACUAUCAAAUUGCCAGUUAAGUUGUUUGGCAUAUUUAAAAUGCUAUCUUUUUUUUUAAAUGCUGUCUUUUAAAAUCAAAUGAAAGAACAAAUUCUGUAGGUUACUAUGUGUGCAUGCAGUCUGUUGCUGCUCAUUGCUAAUGGCUAUUGCACUAUAAGUCAGUUCAUUGACAAUGUAGGCAUUGCUUUUCUACAAAAUCCAACAGGAAAGUGAAGGCCAUUGUCUGUGGACACCUUGCCCCGGGAGCCCAGGGCUGCAGGUGUCCUGUGCCUACAGAGAGGGUGUAGAGUCUUUGCGGUUUAGACGAGGGUCCAAGCAUCAGUGAGGGCCACCUCAUGCAAAGGGCAGCCAUGUGAUAGAUGCUUGCUGGGUGCCAAACCCAGGUCCACCCCAGCUCUCCUGUCAGACCCCAGACCUUCUUUACCAUGGUGGGGUCAUAAAUGGAGCAAUGGGAAGAGGGGGGACAGGAAUGUUGCAGGGAACACAGGCAUCAGGUGGAAUAUUAGAAUGAUUCUCUAGAAACCAGGGAAAGUCUUCCUUUAAUAGCAGAAAGGAAGAGACAAAAAGUCAAAGAGUGAAGUAGAGACUGUAAGAGCACGGGCACUAGAGACAAGGAGGACACCUACAUUGAUUAGACCUUCAGGCUCAUGCUCCAACCUGUUAAGUGUCGCUCCAUCCCUGUGCAGAUUGAGAAAGCCUAGUGCAUUCUGAAUACUCUGCAAAGUUUGGACACACACCUGGCUGCUCAGGGCCACACACCUCCUGAGCACAGGAGUGUCCUCUCUGCGAUGGUCUCUCUUCCAGAGCCCCAUGCUGUGGUCUCUCACUGUGUGUGCCCCCCCCACACACAUUCGCAUGUUGAACUCCUGGUGCCCAGUGUGAUGAUAUCAGGAGGUAGGGCCUUCGGGAUGGCCGGGAUGGGCUGAAGUCCUGAGGGUGGGGCCCUCCCCAAUGGGUUAGUGCCCUUACGAAAGUGGAUCCAGGGAGACCCCUUGCCUCCUGCACUGUGUGGGGACACGGUGGGAGUGUGAAACCCGCAAGGGAGCCCUCACCAGAACACAGCAAGCUGGCACCGUGUUCUCUGGGACGUGCAGCCUCCAGAACUGUGGGGAAUAGAUGCCUGUUGUUCAUAAGCCGCCCGGCCUGCGGUGUUUUGUUACAGCAGCCCGAACAUAACGAAGAAGCCUAGGGUGAAAGUAUGUUAAGUAUUCAAUUCUGGUAUUUUGUUACUUACCUGUGUUCAGAGAUGUAACAGAAAACCUGACGAUCCUCCUGAUCGGCUUUUCUUCUUGGGGAAAUUCCUCCUGUUCAGCAAAGGGGGAGAAGCCACUUUCUCCACACUUGGUCUUCAGGUGGUGUUUGGACAAACUGACUCUCAUGGGGGCACAUAGCCGUGGCCAGUCAUGUCCUGAAAUGUUGAUCUUUUGCCUUUAUUAGACUGUCUGUAGGAGCCACUGAGCGCUGAGCUCAGCAGCGUCCUCGGUCAGAGGGGGCAGCAUUGGGCAUGACCAUCUGUAGAAGGACCUUCCUCUGCCCUGGGAGGAUUCCCUGUGGCGGGGCUCCUGGUUCUCUACCCCGCAAGCCGGCUCAGGUGUCGAGCCUUGCGCACCUGCCUUGUGUUCCAUGCAUGGCAUUGCCAUUUCUUUGUCACCAAACAGCUCCACUCCUGACUCCACCAUCUGCUAGUCAGCCUCCCUUCGACUUUGCUCUCAGAGCAGUUCCCUCAGUAAGCAGAAAUUUCUUUUACAAGCAUUAUGUUCAGUGUGUUUCCCCCGCUCUCAAGCCCGCUCUUCUCCGUUACCUAUAGAACAAACGUAACUUCAGAGCUUGGCAGUUAAAGCCGCCCCUCGGCGGGGCUGCCGCCGCCCCCACCCAAAGCCAGUCUCCCCUUCUCUCCUGCUGUUCUUCCCACACCUUCCUCGUCAGCAUACGAGCUCUUCCUUGCCUGGAAAUCCUUCUCAAUUCCUGUCUCCCAAAGUUUGGGGCCCAUUGCAAAAGUUACCUUUUGCUUUAAAAAAAAAAAAAAAAAAAAAA
Molecule: long non-coding RNA, 5880 nt
Filed under: Sus scrofa (pig)
Lineage: Eukaryota; Metazoa; Chordata; Mammalia; Artiodactyla; Suidae
Description: lncRNA (ENSSSCG00025044482.1)
Source: RNAcentral